UCCAGCAGCCAUAUCACCCUGCAACUCACAACUGGCAACCCACUGAAGCAGCUGUGAGCCUGGUCAGUACCUGGAUGGGAGAGCUCCUGGGAAAAACUAAGGUUGCUGCUGGAA
RNAcentral lists this ribosomal RNA (114 nucleotides) under Lepisosteus oculatus (spotted gar). The record is from RNAcentral. Lineage: Eukaryota; Metazoa; Chordata; Actinopteri; Semionotiformes; Lepisosteidae.